This 343-nucleotide long non-coding RNA is filed under the name Lonchura striata (white-rumped munia). RNAcentral describes it as "domestica (Bengalese finch) lncRNA (ENSLSDG00000013175.1)". The record is from RNAcentral. Lineage: Eukaryota; Metazoa; Chordata; Aves; Passeriformes; Estrildidae.
CAGCAUGUGUUUGAAAGAGGCAACAGAGCAAGCAGAAUUGCUGCCAACAGGGGAAAGACAGAGCUAAAGGAGCAGAAGCAGAAGCACACAGGUGAUUUGUACCAUCUACCCUAUAAUGGCCAACAUUGACAACUACCCAUAAACUGGUACUACCUGUGCCUUGGACAUGUGAAGAUGGGAAGUCUUCUAUGCCAUACAUUGAAAACAGAGAAACUGUUCUGCUUUCAUGAAGAUUCACAGCAGUAACAUGCAGCUCCCGAGUAUGGUUUGUUUGGACCCAUUCACUUCAGCCUCACCACUUAAGAAACAUGGAAAUUCAGUCAUCCUGGGAAGUGGCAUUUGA